ACGUAGGUGGCAAGCGUUGUCCGGAAUUACUGGGUGUAAAGGGAGCUCAGGCGGAAGGACAAGUUGGAAGUGAAACCCACGGGCUCAACUCGUGAACUGCUUUCAAAACUGUUUUUCUUGAGUGGUGUAGAGGUAGGCGGAAUUCCCGGUGUAGCGGUGGAAUGCGUAGAUAUCGGGAGGAACACCAGUGGCGAAGGCGGCCUACUGGGCACUAACUGACGCUGAGGCUCGAAAGCAUGGGUAGCAAACAGGAUUAGAUACCCUGGUAGUCCAUGCCGUAAACGAUGAUUACUAGGUGUGGGAGGAUUGACCCCUUCCGUGCCGCAGUUAACACAAUAAGUAAUCCACCUGGGGAGUACGACCGCAAGGUUG
RNAcentral lists this ribosomal RNA (372 nucleotides) under uncultured bacterium. Its description in RNAcentral is "bacterial SSU rRNA". It matches the Rfam family "Bacterial small subunit ribosomal RNA", at positions 525 to 896 of the family's 1533-position model. The record is from RNAcentral.